CCAGAGAACUUAGCAGAGAUGCUUUGGUGCCUUCGGGAACUCUGAGACAGGUGCUGCAUGGCUGUCGUCAGCUCGUGUUGUGAAAUGUUGGGUUAAGUCCCGCAACGAGCGCAACCCUUAUCCUUUGUUGCCAGCGGCUCGGCCGGGAACUCAAAGGAGACUGCCGGUGAUAAACCGGAGGAAGGUGGGGAUGACGUCAAGUCAUCAUGGCCCUUACGGCCAGGGCUACACACGUGCUACAAUGGCGCAUACAAAGAGAGGCGACCUCGCGAGAGCAAGCGGACCUCACAAAGUGCGUCGUAGUCCGGAUUGGAGUCUGCAACUCGACUCCAUGAAGUCGGAAUCGCUAGUAAUCGUAGAUCAGAAUGCUACGGUGAAUACGUUCCCGGGCCUUGUACACACCGCCCGUCACACCAUGGGAGUGGGUUGCAAAAGAAGUAGGUAGCUUAACCUUCGGGAGGGCGCUUACCACUUUGUGAUUCAUGACUGGGGUGAAGUCGUAACAAGGUAAGCGUAGCGAG
This 521-nucleotide ribosomal RNA is filed under the name uncultured bacterium. RNAcentral's name for it is "bacterial SSU rRNA". It matches the Rfam family "Bacterial small subunit ribosomal RNA", at positions 988 to 1509 of the family's 1533-position model. The record is from RNAcentral.